Molecule: small RNA, 77 nt
Filed under: Xanthomonas arboricola
Lineage: Bacteria; Pseudomonadati; Pseudomonadota; Gammaproteobacteria; Lysobacterales; Lysobacteraceae
Also listed under: 1 other name
Description: sRNA sX9
Rfam family: Xanthomonas sRNA sX9
Source: RNAcentral
AGGUAUCUGCCACACAGUCCGAUUCCGAGCGCGCCGUCCGCACCCAUCCAUCGGCCGCUCGCGACGUCUUGUUGGUC